GACGAACGCUGGCGGCGUGCCUAAUACAUGCAAGUCGAGCGAACUUAACUAAAUGAAUGCGGUGCUUGCACCAAGUGAUUUUAGAGCGGUGAGUGGCGGACGGGUGAGUAACACGUGGGUAACCUGCCCAGAAGCGGGGGAUAACAUUUGGAAACAGAUGCUAAUACCGCAUAAAAGUCAAAACCACAUGGUUUUGAUUUAAAAGAUGGCCUUUGUGCUAUCACUUCUGGAUGCACCCGCGGCGUAUUAGCUAGUUGGUAAGGUAAUGGCUUACCAAGGCAAUGAUACGUAGCCGAACUGAGAGGUUGAUCGGCCACAAUGGGACUGAGACACGGCCCAUACUCCUACGGGAGGCAGCAGUAGGGAAUCUUCCACAAUGGGCGCAAGCCUGAUGGAGCAACACCGCGUGAGUGAAGAAGGGUUUCGGCUCGUAAAACUCUGUUGUUAAAGAAGAACGUAUCUAAGAGUAACUGCUUAGGUAGUGACGGUAUUUAACCAGAAAGCCACGGCUAACUACGUGCCAGCAGCCGCCGUAA
Molecule: ribosomal RNA, 536 nt
Filed under: uncultured bacterium
Lineage: Bacteria
Description: partial 16S ribosomal RNA
Rfam family: Bacterial small subunit ribosomal RNA
Source: RNAcentral